This 1009-nucleotide long non-coding RNA is filed under the name Sorghum bicolor (sorghum). Its description in RNAcentral is "long non-coding RNA (SBIC_LNC014559)". The record is from RNAcentral. Lineage: Eukaryota; Viridiplantae; Streptophyta; Magnoliopsida; Poales; Poaceae.
GCGGCGUGCGCAGCGUCCGCGCGGGCCGAGCCGAAGCGGGCCGGCCUGCGAGCCGAAAUCCGGCCACCCGCUGCAGUGUCUUUUCUUUUUUUUCUUUUAUGUAGUUUUUGUUUUAUAUUUGAAUUUGUGUAAUAAAUUGUGUGGUGAUCCAAAAAUAAUGAGAAUUUUUGUAUAAACUCUCUGAAAUAUGUAGGAUCCAAGAAAAAUACUAGAUUCUGCUUUCUAAUAGUUUGCAAGGAUAUAAAAAUUGGCCCUUUUAAUUAGCAAAUAAAAUUUGUAUGAUUUUUAAUAAUUUAUUUGUAUGUCCAAAAAUCACCAAAAAUUGUGGGGAGCCUCUGAAUAUUAUUCCCUGGCUCCACACAAAAUUUUGUGGCAUUUGGAUAAGGUUUGCUUAAAAUGUUAAUAAACCCUUAUUUAGUGCCUAAGUAAUAAUUCCAAAAUAAUUAAAUAAUAAUUAGUUAAAUCCUCAUCAUUAGGGUUGAGUGAUAUUGGGAUUGUGUAAUGACCUGAGGUCAUUAACCCUAGUGACCUUUGGCAUUUAAUUAUUGUUUAGCCUUAAUGCUUAAUUACUAUCAUUAAUAGUUAAUUAAGAAUUAAUUAAGGUAAAUAGGAUUAAUAAUUAGUUAAUUCAGGUUAAUUAUGGAUUAAAAGAGAUUUUAUUUUACAGAUGCAACCUCUUGGGUAAAAACAUUAAGAUGUUAAACAACUUUAUUUACUGAUUAAUCUGUAUUGCAUUAAGAAGGCAAAUUGUACUCGACUUGAUCCUUCUUGCAUAGUUGUCAUACGCAUAUCAUGAGCAUUCAUCAUUUUGCGUAUAGUAUCCGUGACCGAAGGAGCGCCCGUUGAACCGAAUCCCGAGGUCGGUGCUCCGUUCGAGGAAGUAGGAUCCGAGACUUGGGAAGUCUCCGAGGGUCCGUCUCUGCCCUGCAACCAAGGCAAGCCCCGGAUGCAUUAACCCCUCCUUGAAUGUUUUAAAUCUUUUAUCACUUAUGAAUUGAAAAUGCUGCAU